Long non-coding RNA from Gallus gallus (chicken), 13860 nucleotides. Lineage: Eukaryota; Metazoa; Chordata; Aves; Galliformes; Phasianidae. The record is from Ensembl.
UCCUCUGCGCAAAUCCCCCAUUUAACUCGAAAAUGACGCGUUUUCUCUUUGCAAAUCCCCCAUUUAAGCGAAAAUCACGCGUUUUCUCUUCGCAAAUCCCCCAUUUAACUCGAAAAUGACGCGUUUUCUCUUCGCAAAUCCCCCAUUUAACUCAAAAAAUGACGCGUUUUUCUCUUCACAAAUCCCCCAUUUAACCAAUAAUCACGUGUUUUCUCUUCGAGAAUCCCUUUUCUAACCAGAAAAUCACGCAUUUUCUCUUCGAGAAUCCCCCAUUUAACCGAAAAUCACUCGUUUUCUCUUCGAGAAUCCCCAUUUAACCAAAAAUCACGCGUCUUCUCUUUGGAAAUUGCCCAUUUAAGCGAAAAUCAUGCAUUUUCUUUUCGAGAAUCCCGCUUUUAACCUGAAAAUAACACGUUUUCUCUUCGCGAAUCCCCCAUUUAACCCGAAAAUCACGCGUUUUCUCUUCCCAAAUCCCCCAUUUAAGCGAAAAUCACGCGUUUUCUCUUCACAAAUCCCACAUUUAACCCGAAAAUGACUCAUUUUCUAUUCACAAAUCCCCCAUUUAAGCGAAAAUCACGCAUUUUCUCUUCGGAAUCCCCCAUUUAACCCGAAAAUCACGCGUUUUCUCUUCGAGAAUCCCCAUUUAACCCGAAAAUCACGCGUUUUCUCUUCGCAAAUCCCCAUUUAAGCGAAAAUCACGCGUUUUCUCUUCGCAAAUCCCCCAUUUAAGCGAAAAUCACGCGUUUUCUCUUCGCAAAUCCCCCAUUUAACGAAAAUCACGCGUUUUCUCUUCGAGAAUCCCCCAUUUAACCGAAAAUCACGCGUUUUCUCUUCGAGAAUCCCCCAUUUAACCGAAAAUCACGCGUUUUCUCUUCGCAAAUCCCCCAUUUAAGCCGAAAAUCACGCGUUUUCUCUUCGCAAAUCCCCCAUUUAAGCGAAAAUCACGCGUUUUCUCUUCGCAAAUCCCCCAUUUAACUCGAAAAUCACGCGUUUUCUCUUCGCAAAUCCCCCAUUUAAGCGAAAAUCACGCGUUUUCUCUUCGCAAAUCCCCCAUUUAACUCGAAAAUCACGCGUUUUCUCUUCGCAAAUCCCCCAUUUAAGCGAAAAUCACGCGUUUUCCUCUCGCAAAUCCCCCAUUUAACCGAAAAUCACGCGUUUUCUCUUCGCAAAUCCCCCAUUUAACCGAAAAUCGCGUUUUCUCUUCGCAAAUCCCUCAUUUAAGCGAAAAUCACGCGUUUUCUCUUCGCAAAUCCCCCAUUUAACCGAAAAUCACGUGUUUUCUCUUCGCAAAUCCCCCAUUUAACCCGAAAAUCACGCGUUUUCUCUUCGCAAAUCCCCCAUUUAACGCGAAAAUCACGCGUUUUCUCUUCGCAAAUCCCCCAUUUAAGCGAAAAUCACGCGUUUUCUCUUCGCAAAUCCCCCAUUUAACUCGAAAAUCACGCGUUUUCUCUUCGAAAUCCCCCAUUUAACGCGAAAAUCACGCGUUUCUCCUUCGCAAAUCCCCAUUUAACCCGAAAAUCACGCGUUUUCUCUUCGAAAUCCCCCAUUUAAGCCAAAAUCACGCGUUUUCUCUUCGAGAAUCCCCCAUUUAAGCGAAAAUCACGCGUUUUCUCUUCGCAAAUCCCCCAUUUAAGCGAAAAUCACUGCGUUUUCUCUUCGAAUCCCCAUUUAACCCGAAAAUCACGCGUUUUCUCUUCGCAAAUCCCCCAUUUAAGCCAAAAUCACGCGUUUUUCUCUUCGAGCAAUCCCCCAUUUAAGCGAAAAAUCACGCGUUUUCUCUUCGCAGAAUCCCCCAUUUAACCUGAAAAUCACGCGUUUUCUCUUCGAGAAUCCCCCAUUUAACCGAAAAUCACGCGGUUUUCCUCUUCGCAAAUCCCCCAUUUAAGCGAAAAUCACGCGUUUUCCUCUUCGCAAAUCCCCCAUUUAAGCCGAAAAUCACGCUGUUUUCUCUUCGCAAAUCCCCCAUUUAAGCGAAAAUCACGCGUUUUCUCUUCGAGAAUCCCCCAUUUAAGCGAAAAUCACGCGUUUUUCUCUUCGCAAAUCCCCCAUUUAAGCUGAAAAUCACGCGUUUUCUCUUCGCAAAUCCCCAUUUAAGCGAAAAUCACGCGUUUUCUCUUCGCAGAAUCCCCCAUUUAAGCGAAAAUCACGCGUUUUCUCUUCGCAAAUCCCCCAUUUAACGCGAAAAUCACGCGUUUUCUCUUCGCAAAUCCCCCAUUUAAGCGAAAAUCACGCGUUUUCUCUUCGCAGAAUCCCCCAUUUAACGAAAAAUCACGCGUUUUCUCUUCGCAAAUCCCCCAUUUAAGCGAAAAUCACGCGUUUUCUCUUCGCAAAUCCCCCAUUUAACCGAAAAUCACGCGUUUUCUCUUCGAAAUCCCCCAUUUAAGCGAAAAUCACGCGUUUUCUCUUCGCAAAUCCCCCAUUUAACGAAAAUCACGCGUUUUCUCUUUCGCAAAUCCCCCAUUUAAGCCGAAAAUCACGCGUUUUCUCUUCGCAAAUCCCCCAUUUAAGCGAAAAUCACGCGUUUUCUCUUCGAGAAUCCCCCAUUUAAGCCGAAAAUCACGCGUUUUCUCUUCGCAAAUCCCCCAUUUAACCCGAAAAUCACGCGUUUUCUCUUCGCAAUCCCCAUUUAAGCGAAAAUCACUGCGUUUUCUCUUCGCAAAUCCCCCAUUUAAGCGAAAAUCACGCGUUUUCUAUUCACAAAUCCCCCAUUUAAGCGAAAAUCACGCAGUUUUCUCUUCGGAAAUCCCCCAUUGAAGCGAAAAUCACGCAUUUUCUCUUCGAGAAUCCCCCAUUUAACCCGAAAAUCACGCGUUUUCUCUUCGAGAUUCCCCAUUUAAGCCGAAAAUCACGCGUUUUCUCUUUGCAAAUCCACCUUUUAACCGAAAAUCACGUUUCUUUUUGAGAAUCCCCCAUUUAAGCGAAAAUCACGCGUUUUCCUCUUCGCUAAUACCCCAUUUAACUAAAAUCACGCGUUUUCUCAUCAAGAAUCCCCCAUUUAAGCGAAAAUCAGGUAUUUUCGCUUCGCAAAUCCCCCAUUUAAGCGAAAAUCAUGUGUUUUCUCUUCGAGAAUCCCCCAUUUAACCCGAAAAUCACGCGUUUUCUCUUCGCAAAUCCCCCAUUUAAGCAAAAAUCACGCAUUUUCUCCUCGAGAAUCCCCCAUUUAACUUAAAAAUCACGCGUUUUCUCUUCGCAAAUCCCCCAUUUAAGCAAAAAUCACGCGUUUUCUCUUCGAGAAUCCCCCAUUUAACCCGAAAAUCACGCGUUUUCUCUUCGCAAAUCCCCCAUUUAACCCGAAAAAUCACGCGUUUUCUCUUCGCAAAUCCCCCAUUUAAGCAAAAAUCACGCGUUUUUCUCGUCGCAAAUCCCCCAUUUAAGCAAAAAUCACGCGUUUUCUCUUCGCAAAUCCCCCAUUUAACCCGAAAAUCACACGUUUUCUCUUUGCAAAUCCCCCAUUUAAGCGAAAAUCACGCGUUUUCCUCUUCGCAUAUCUUCCCAUUUAAGCGAAAAUCACGCGUUUUCUCUUCGAGAAUCCCCCAUUUAAGCGAAAAUCACGCAGUUUUCUCUUCGCACAUCCCCCAUUUAACCCGAAAAUCACGCGUUUUCUCUUCGCAAAUCCCCCAUUUAACUGAAAAUCACGCGUUUUCUCUUCGCAAAUCCCCCAUUUAAGUGAAAAUCACGCAUUUUCCUCUUCGCAAAUCCCCCAUUUAAGCGAAAAUCACGCGUUUUCUCUUCGCAAAUCCCCCAUUUAACCCGAAAAUCACGCGUUUUCUCUUCGCAAAUCCCCCAUUUAAGCAAAAAUCACGCGUUUUCUCUUCGCAAAUCCCCAUUUAACCCGAAAAUCACGCGUUUUCUCUUCACAAAUCCCCCAUUUAAGCGAAAAUCACGCGUUUUCUCUUCGCAAAUCCCCCAUUUAAGCGAAAAUCACGCAGUUUUCUCCUCGAGAAUCCCCCAUUUAACUUGAAAAUCACGCGUUUUCUCUUCGCAAAUCCCCCAUUUAAGCGAAAAUCACGCGUUUUCUCUUCGAGAAUCCCCCAUUUAACCCGAAAAUCACGCGUUUUCUCUUCGCAAAUCCCCCAUUUAACCCGAAAAUCACGCGUUUUCUCUUCGCAAAUCCCCCAUUUAAGCAAAAAUCACGCGUUUUCUCUUCGCAAAUCCCCCAUUUAAGCGAAAAUCACGCGUUUUCCUCUUCGCAAAUCCCCCAUUUAAGCCGAAAAUCACAGCGUUUUCUCUUCGCAAAUCCCCCAUUUAAGCGAAAAUCACGCGUUUUCUCUUCGCAUAAUCUCCCCAUUUAAGCGAAAAUCACGCGUUUUCUCUUCGAGAAUCCCCCAUUUAAGCGAAAAUCACGCGUUUUCUCUUCGCAAAUCCCCCAUUUAACCGAAAAUCACGCGUUUUCUCUUCGCAAAUCCCCCAUUUAAGCUGAAAAUCACGCGUUUUCUCUUCGCAAAUCCCCCAUUUAACCAAAAAUCACGCAUUUUCUCUUCGAGAAUCCCCCAUUUAACCGAAAAUCACGCGUUUUCUCUUUGCAAAUUCCCCAUUUAAGCAAAAAUCACGUGUUUUCUCUUCGAGAAUCCCCCAUUUAAGCGAAAAUCACGCGUUUUCUCUUCGUAAAUCCCCCAUUUAACUUGAAAAUCAAGCGUUUUCUCUUCGCAAAUCCCCCAUUUAACCCGAAAAUCACGCGUUUUCUCUUCGCAAAUCCCCCAUUUAAGCGAAAAUCACACGUUUUCUCUUCACAAAUCCCCCAUUUAAGCAAAAAUCACGCGUUUUCUCUUCGCAAAUCCCCCAUUUAACCCGAAAAUCACGCGUUUUCUCUUCGAGAAUCCCCCAUUUAAGUGAAAAUCACGCGUUUUCUCUUCGCAAAUCCCCCAUUUAACCGAAAAUCACGCGUUUUCUCUUCGAGAAUCCCCCAUUGAACCCGAAAAACACACGUUUUCUCUUCGCAAAUCCCCCAUUUAAGCAAAAAUCACGCGUUUUCUCUUCGCAAAUCCCCCAUUUAACCGAAAAUCACGCGUUUUCUCUUCGCAAAUCCCCCAUUUAAGCGAAAAUCAUGCGUUUUCUCUUCGCAAAUCCCCCAUUUAAGCCGAAAAUAACGCGUUUUCUCUUCGAGAAUCCCCCAUUUAACCCAAAAAUCAUGCGUUUUCUCUUCGAGAAUCCCCCAUUUAAGCGAAAAUCACGCGUUUUCUCUUCGCAAAUCCCCCAUUUAACCCGAAAAUCACGCGUUUCCUCUUUAGAAUCCCCACUUUAACUUAAAAAUCACGCAUUUUCUCUUCGCAAAUCCCCCAUUUAAGCAAAAAUCACGCGUUUUCUCUUCGAGAAUUUUCCAUUUAAGGGAAAAUCACGCAUUUUCUCUUUGCAAAUCUCCCAUUUAAGCGAAAAUCACGCGUUUUCUCUUCGCAAAUCCCCCAUUUAACCCGAAAAUCACGCGUUUUCUCUUCGCAAAUCCCCCAUUUAAGCGAAAAAUCACGCGUUUUCUCUUCGCAAAUCCCCCAUUUAAGCGAAAAUCACGCGUUUUCUCUUCGCAAAUCCCCCAUUUAAGCGAACAUCACGCGUUUUCUCUUCGCAAAUCCCCCAUUUAACCCGAAAAUCACGCGUUUUCUCUUCGCAAAUCCCCCAUUUAACCCGAAAAUCAAGCGUUUUCUCUUUGCAAAUCCCCCAUUUAACCCGAAAAUCACGCGUUUUCUCGUCGCAAAUCCCCCAUUUAAGCAAAAAUCACGCGUUUUCUCUUCGCAAAUCCCCCAUGUUACCCGAAAAUCACGCGUUUUCUCUUCGAGAAUCCCCCAUUUAAGUGAAAAUCACGCGUUUUCUCUUCGCAAAUCCCCCAUUUAAGCAAAAAUCACGCGUUUUCUCUUCGAGAAUCCCCCAUUGAACCCGAAAAACACACGUUUUCUCUUCGCAAAUCCCCCAUUUAAGCAAAAAUCACGUGUUUUCUCUUCGCAAAUCCCCCAUUUAACCGAAAAUCACGCGUUUUCUCUUCGCAAAUCCCCCAUUUAAGCGAAAAUCACGCGUUUUCUCUUCGCAAAUCCCCCAUUUAAGCGAAAAUCACGCGUUUUCUCUUCACAAAUCCCCCAUUUAAGCAAAAAUCACGCGUUUUCUCUUCGCAAAUCCCCCAUUUAAGCGAAAAUCACGCGUUUUCUCUUCGAGAAUCCCCCAUUUAAGUGAAAAUCACGCGUUUUCUCUUCGCAAAUCCCCCAUUUAACCCGAAAAUCACGCGUUUUCUCUUCGAGAAUCCCCCAUUGAACCCGAAAAACACGCGUUUUCUCUUCGAGAAUCCCCCAUUUAAGCAAAAAUCACGCGUUUUCUCUUCGCAAAUCCCCCAUUUAAGCGAAAAUCACGCGUUUUCUCUUCGCAAAUCCCCCAUUUAAGCGAAAAUCAUGCGUUUUCUCUUCGCAAAUCCCCCAUUUAAGCCGAAAAUAACGCGUUUUCUCUUCGAGAAUCCCCCAUUUAACCCAAAAAUCAUGCGUUUUCUCUUCGAGAAUCCCCCAUUUAAGCGAAAAUCACGCGUUUUCUCUUCGCAAAUCCCCCAUUUAACCCGAAAAUCACGCGUUUCCUCUUUAGAAUCCCCACUUUAACUUAAAAAUCACGCAUUUUCUCUUCGCAAAUCCCCCAUUUAAGCAAAAAUCACGCGUUUUCUCUUCGAGAAUUUUCCAUUUAAGGGAAAAUCACGCAUUUUCUCUUUGCAAAUCUCCCAUUUAAGCGAAAAUCACGCGUUUUCUCUUCGCAAAUCCCCCAUUUAACCCGAAAAUCACGCGUUUUCUCUUCGCAAAUCCCCCAUUUAAGCGAAAAAUCACGCGUUUUCUCUUCGCAAAUCCACCAUUUAAGCGAAAAUCACGCGUUUUCUCUUCGCAAAUCCCCCAUUUAAGCGAACAUCACGCGUUUUCUCUUCGCAAAUCCCCCAUUUAACCCGAAAAUCACGCGUUUUCUCUUCGCAAAUCCCCCAUUUAACCCGAAAAUCACGCGUUUUCUCUUCGCAAAUCCCCCAUUUAAGCAAAAUCACGCGUUUUCUCUUCGCAAAUCCCCCAUUUAAGCAAAAAUCACGCGUUUUCUCUUCGCAAAUCCCCCAUUUUACCCGAAAAUCACGCGUUUUCUCUUCGAGAAUCCCCCAUUUAAGUGAAAAUCACGCGUUUUCUCUUCGCAAAUCCCCCAUUUAACCCGAAAAUCACGCGUUUUCUCUUCGAGAAUCCCCCAUUUAAGCCGAAAAUCACACGUUUUCUCUUCGCAAAUCCCCCAUUUAAGCGAAAAUCACGCGUUUUCUCUUCGCAAAUCCCCCAUUUAAGCGAAAAUCACGCGUUUUCUCUUCGCAAAUCCCCCAUUUAAGCGAAAAUCAUGCGUUUUCUCUUCGCAAAUCCCCCAUUUAAGCCGAAAAUAACGCGUUUUCUCUUCGAGAAUCCCCCAUUUAACCCAAAAAUCAUGCGUUUUCUCUUCGAGAAUCCCCCAUUUAAGCGAAAAUCACGCGUUUUCUCUUCGCAAAUCCCCCAUUUAACCCGAAAAUCACGCGUUUCCUCUUUAGAAUCCCCACUUUAACUUAAAAAUCACGCAUUUUCUCUUCGCAAAUCCCCCAUUUAAGCAAAAAUCACGCGUUUUCUUUUCGCAAAUCCCCCAUUUAACCCGAAAAUCACGCGUUUUCUCUUCGAGAAUUUUCCAUUUAAGGGAAAAUCACGCAUUUUCUCUUUGCAAAUCUCCCAUUUAAGCGAAAAUCACACGUUUUCUCUUCGCAAAUCCCCCAUUUAAGCGAAAAUCACGCGUUUUCUCUUCGCAAAUCCCCCAUUUAAGCGAAAAAUCACGCGUAUUCUCUUCGCAAAUCCCCCAUUUUAGCGAAAAUCACGCGUUUUCUCUUCGCAAAUCCCCCAUUUAAGCGAACAUCACGCGUUUUCUCUUCGCAAAUCCCCCAUUUAACCCGAAAAUCACGCGUUUUCUCUUCGCAAAUCCCCCAUUUAACCCGAAAAUCAAGCGUUUUCUCUUCGCAAAUCCCCCAUUUAACCCGAAAAUCACGCGUUUUCUCUUCGCAAAUCCCCCAUUUAAGCAAAAAUCACGCGUUUUCUCGUCGCAAAUCCCCCAUUUAAGCAAAAAUCACGCGUUUUCUCUUCGCAAAUCCCCCAUGUUACCCGAAAAUCACGCGUUUUCUCUUCGAGAAUCCCCCAUUUAAGUGAAAAUCACGCGUUUUCUCUUCGCAAAUCCCCCAUUUAACCCGAAAAUCACGCGUUUUCUCUUCGAGAAUCCCCCAUUGAACCCGAAAAACACACGUUUUCUCUUCGCAAAUCCCCCAUUUAAGCAAAAAUCACGCGUUUUCUCUUCGCAAAUCCCCCAUUUAACCAAAAAUCACGCGUUUUCUCUUCGCAAAUCCCCCAUUUAAGCGAAAAUCAUGCGUUUUCUCUUCGCAAAUCCCCCAUUUAAGCCGAAAAUCACGCGUUUUCUCUUCGAGAAUCCCCCAUUUAACCCAAAAAUCAUGCGUUUUCUCUUCGAGAAUCCCCCAUUUAAGCGAAAAUCACGCGUUUUCUCUUCGCAAAUCCCCCAUUUAACCCGAAAAUCACGCGUUUCCUCUUUAGAAUCCCCACUUUAACUUAAAAAUCACGCAUUUUCUCUUCGCAAAUCCCCCAUUUAAGCAAAAAUCACGCGUUUUCUCUUCGCAAAUCCCCCAUUUAAGCAAAAAUCACGCGUUUUCUCUUCGAGAAUUUUCCAUUUAACCCGAAAAUCACGCAUUUUCUCUUUGCAAAUCUCCCAUUUAAGCGAAAAUCACACGUUUUCUCUUCGCAAAUCCCCCAUUUAAGCGAAAAAUCACGCGUAUUCUCUUCGCAAAUCCCCCAUUUUAGCGAAAAUCACGCGUUUUCUCUUCGCAAAUCCCCCAUUUAAGCGAACAUCACGCGUUUUCUCUUCGCAAAUCCCCCAUUUAAGCGAAAAUCACGCGUUUUCUCUUCGCAAAUCCCCCAUUUAACCCGAAAACCACGCGUUUUCUCUUCGCAAAUCCCCCAUUUAUGCAAAAAUCACGCGUUUUCUCUUCGAGAAUCCCCCAUUUAACCAAAAAUCACGCGUUUUCUCUUUGAGAAUCCCCCAUUUAACCCGAAAAUCACGCGUUUUCUCUUUGCAAAUCCCCCAUUUAAGCAAAAAUCACGCGUUUUCUCGUCGCAAAUCCCCCAUUUAACCCGAAAAUCACGCGUUUUCUCUUUGAGAAUCCCCCAUUUAAGCGAAAAUCACGCGUUUUCUCUUCGCAAAUCCCCCAUUUAAGCGAAAAUCACGCGUAUUCGCUUCGCAAAUCCCCCAUUUAACCCAAAAAUCACGCGUUUUCUCUUCGAGAAUCCCCCAUUUAACCCGAAAAUCACACGUUUUCUCUUCGAGAAUCCCCCAUUUAACCCGAAAAUCACGCGUUUUCUCUUCGCAAAUCCCCCAUUUAAGCAAAAAUCACGCAUUUUCUCUUCGCAAAUCCCCGAUUUAACCCAAAAAUCACGCGUUUUCUCUUCGCACAUCCCCCAUUUAAUCGAAAAUCACGCGUUUUCUCUUUGCAAAUCUCCCAUUUAAGCGAAAAUCACGCGUUUUCUCUUCGCAAAUCCCCCAUUUAACCCGAAAAUCACGCGUUUUCUCUUCGCAAAUCCCCCAUUUAAGCGAAAAAUCACGCGUUUUCUCUUCGCAAAUCCCCCAUUUAAGCGAAAAUCACGCGUUUUCUCUUCGCAAAUCCCCCAUUUAAGCGAACAUCACGCGUUUUCUCUUCGCAAAUCCCCCAUUUAACCCGAAAAUCACGCGUUUUCUCUUCGCAAAUCCCCCAUUUAACCCGAAAAUCACGCGUUUUCUCUUUGCAAAUCCCCCAUUUAACCCGAAAAUCACGCGUUUUCUCGUCGCAAAUCCCCCAUUUAAGCAAAAAUCACGCGUUUUCUCUUCGCAAAUCCCCCAUUUAACCCGAAAAUCACGCGUUUUCUCUUCGCAAAUCCCCCAUUUAACCCGAAAAUCACGCGUUUUCUCUUCACAAAUCCCCCAUUUAAGCGAAAAUCACGCGUUUUCUCUUCGCAAAUCCCCCAUUUAACCCAAAAAUCACAUAUUUUCUCUUCGCAAAUCCCCCAUUUAACCCGAAAAUCACGCGUUUUCUCUUCGCAAAUCCCCCAUUUAAGCGAAAAUCACGCGUUUUCUCUUCACAAAUCCCCCAUUUAAGCAAAAAUCACGCGUUUUCUCUUCGCAAAUCCCCCAUUUAAGCGAAAAUCACGCGUUUUCUCUUCGAGAAUCCCCCAUUUAAGUGAAAAUCACGCGUUUUCUCUUCGCAAAUCCCCCAUUUAACCCGAAAAUCACGCGUUUUCUCUUCGAGAAUCCCCCAUUGAACCCGAAAAACACGCGUUUUCUCUUCGAGAAUCCCCCAUUUAAGCAAAAAUCACGCGUUUUCUCUUCGCAAAUCCCCCAUUUAACCGAAAAUCACGCGUUUUCUCUUCGCAAAUCCCCCAUUUAAGCGAAAAUCAUGCGUUUUCUCUUCGCAAAUCCCCCAUUUAAGCUGAAAAUAACGCGUUUUCUCUUCGAGAAUCCCCCAUUUAACCCAAAAAUCAUGCGUUUUCUCUUCGAGAAUCCCCCAUUUAAGCGAAAAUCACGCGUUUUCUCUUCGCAAAUCCCCCAUUUAACCCGAAAAUCACGCGUUUUCUCUUCGAGAAUUUUCCAUUUAAGGGAAAAUCACGCAUUUUCUCUUUGCAAAUCUCCCAUUUAAGCGAAAAUCACGCGUUUUCUCUUCGCAAAUCCCCCAUUUAACCCGAAAAUCACGCGUUUUCUCUUCGCAAAUCCCCCAUUUAAGCGAAAAAUCACGCGUUUUCUCUUCGCAAAUCCCCCAUUUAAGCGAAAAUCACGCGUUUUCUCUUCGCAAAUCCCCCAUUUAAGCGAACAUCACGCGUUUUCUCUUCGCAAAUCCCCCAUUUAACCCGAAAAUCACGCGUUUUCUCUUCGCAAAUCCCCCAUUUAACCCGAAAAUCAAGUGUUUUCUCUUUGCAAAUCCCCCAUUUAACCCGAAAAUCACGCGUUUUCUCUUCGCAAAUCCCCCAUUUAAACAAAAAUCACGCGUUUUCUCUUCGCAAAUCCCCCAUUUAAGCAAAAAUCACGCGUUUUCUCUUCACAAAUCCCCCAUGUUACCCGAAAAUCACGCGUUUUCUCUUCGAGAAUCCCCCAUUUAAGUGAAAAUCACGCGUUUUCUCUUCGCAAAUCCCCCAUUUAACCCGAAAAUCACGCGUUUUCUCUUCGAGAAUCCCCCAUUGAACCCGAAAAACACACGUUUUCUCUUCGCAAAUCCCCCAUUUAAGCAAAAAUCACGCGUUUUCUCUUCGCAAAUCCCCCAUUUAAGCGAAAAUCACGCGUUUUCUCUUCGCAAAUCCCCCAUUUAAGCGAAAAUCAUGCGUUUUCUCUUCGCAAAUCCCCCAUUUAUGCCGAAAAUAACGCGUUUUCUCUUCGAGAAUCCCCCAUUUAACCCAAAAAUCAUGCGUUUUCUCUUCGAGAAUCCCCCAUUUAAGCGAAAAUCACGCGUUUUCUCUUCGCAAAUCCCCCAUUUAACCCGAAAAUCACGCGUUUCCUCUUUAGAAUCCCCACUUUAACUUAAAAAUCACGCAUUUUCUCUUCGCAAAUCCCCCAUUUAAGCAAAAAUCACGCGUUUUCUCUUCGCAAAUCCCCCAUUUAACCCGAAAAUCACGCGUUUUCUCUUCGAGAAUUUUCCAUUUAAGGGAAAAUCACGCAUUUUCUCUUUGCAAAUCUCCCAUUUAAGCGAAAAUCACACGUUUUCUCUUCGCAAAUCCCCCAUUUAAGCGAAAAUCACGCGUUUUCUCUUCGCAAAUCCCCCAUUUAAGCGAAAAAUCACGCGUAUUCUCUUCGCAAAUCCCCCAUUUUAGCGAAAAUCACGCGUUUUCUCUUCGCAAAUCCCCCAUUUAAGCGAACAUCACGCGUUUUCUCUUCGCAAAUCCCCCAUUUAACCCGAAAAUCACGCGUUUUCUCUUCGCAAAUCCCCCAUUUAAGCAAAAAUCACGCGUUUUCUCGUCGCAAAUCCCCCAUUUAAGCAAAAAUCACGCGUUUUCUCUUCGCAAAUCCCCCAUGUUACCCGAAAAUCACGCGUUUUCUCUUCGAGAAUCCCCCAUUUAAGUGAAAAUCACGCGUUUUCUCUUCGCAAAUCCCCCAUUUAACCCGAAAAUCACGCGUUUUCUCUUCGAGAAUCCCCCAUUGAACCCGAAAAACACACGUUUUCUCUUCGCAAAUCCCCCAUUUAAGCAAAAAUCACGCGUUUUCUCUUCGCAAAUCCCCCAUUUAACCAAAAAUCACGCGUUUUCUCUUCGCAAAUCCCCCAUUUAAGCGAAAAUCAUGCGUUUUCUCUUCGCAAAUCCCCCAUUUAAGCCGAAAAUAACGCGUUUUCUCUUCGAGAAUCCCCCAUUUAACCCAAAAAUCAUGCGUUUUCUCUUCGAGAAUCCCCCAUUUAAGCGAAAAUCACGCGUUUUCUCUUCGCAAAUCCCCCAUUUAACCCAAAAAUCACGCGUUUCCUCUUUAGAAUCCCCACUUUAACUUAAAAAUCACGCAUUUUCUCUUCGCAAAUCCCCCAUUUAAGCAAAAAUCACGCGUUUUCUCUUCGCAAAUCCCCCAUUUAAGCAAAAAUCACGCGUUUUCUCUUCGAGAAUUUUCCAUUUAACCCGAAAAUCACGCAUUUUCUCUUUGCAAAUCUCCCAUUUAAGCGAAAAUCACACGUUUUCUCUUCGCAAAUCCCCCAUUUAAGCGAAAAAUCACGCGUUUUCUCUUCGCAAAUCCCCCAUUUUAGCGAAAAUCACGCGUUUUCUCUUCGCAAAUCCCCCAUUUAAGCGAACAUCACGCGUUUUCUCUUCGCAAAUCCCCGAUUUAACCCGAAAAUCACGCGUUUUCUCUUCGCAAAUCCCCCAUUUAACCCGAAAACCACGCGUUUUCUCUUCGCAAAUCCCCCAUUUAUGCAAAAAUCACGCGUUUUCUCUUCGAGAAUCCCCCAUUUAACCAAAAAUCACGCGUUUUCUCUUUGAGAAUCCCCCAUUUAACCCGAAAAUCACGCGUUUUCUCUUUGCAAAUCCCCCAUUUAAGCAAAAAUCACGCGUUUUCCUCGUCGCAAAUCCCCCAUUUAACCCGAAAAUCACGCGUUUUCUCUUUGAGAAUCCCCCAUUUAAGCGAAAAUCACGCGUUUUCUCUUCGCAAAUCCCCCAUUUAAGCGAAAAUCACGCGUAUUCGCUUCGCAAAUCCCCCAUUUAACCCAAAAAUCACGCGUUUUCUCUUCGAGAAUCCCCCAUUUAACCCGAAAAUCACACGUUUUCUCUUCGAGAAUCCCCCAUUGAACCCGAAAAACACACGUUUUCUCUUCGCAAAUCCCCCAUUUAAGCAAAAAUCACGCAUUUUCUCUUCGCAAAUCCCCGAUUUAACCCAAAAAUCACGCGUUUUCUCUUCGCACAUCCCCCAUUUAAUCGAAAAUCACGCGUUUUCUCUUCGCAAAUCCCCCAUUUAACCCGAAAAAUCACGCAUUUUCUAUUCGAGAAUCCUCCAUUUAAGUGAAAAUCAUGUGUUUUCUCUUCGAGAGUCCCCAUUUAAGCAAAAAUCACGCAUUUUCUCUUCGAGAAUCCUCCAUUUAAGCGAAAAUCACACAUUUUCUCUUCGAGAGUCCCCAUUUAAGCAAAAAUCACGCAUUUUCUCUUCGAGAAUCCCCCAUUUAAGCGAAAAUCACACAUUUUCUCUUCGAGAAUCCUCCAUUUAACCCGAAAUUCAUGCAUUUUCUCUUUGGAAAUCUUCCUUUUAACCUGAAAAUCACGCCUUUUCUCUUCAGGAAUCCCCCAUUUAUGCAAAAAUCACGCGUUUUCUCUUCGGGAUUCCCCCAUUUAUCCCGAAAAUCACGUGUUUUCUCUUCGUAAAUUCCCCAUUUAU